Long non-coding RNA from Mercenaria mercenaria, 5393 nucleotides. RefSeq lists it as uncharacterized. The record is from RefSeq and is a predicted model, not a curated record. The transcript is spliced from 2 exons. NCBI's taxonomy places the organism in Eukaryota, Metazoa, Mollusca, Bivalvia, Venerida, Veneridae.
AUUUCCCAUAGAUAUUUCUCUUAUAUUUGUCAAAGGUUUGAAUACUGAUGACAACAGUAGAAAGUUUAACUGAACCUUUAAUUUCUAUCACCUUCCUUCUUUGGCUAUAACUUUAACAGUUCAUAUGCAUUACUGAAAGAAGCGCUUUUCUAAACAUGUAAUCUGUACAUACUAGAUAACAUGUCGUGUUUAUUCAUUUUUAUAUUACAUUAGAAAAGCCAUAAGCCUCUAGUAAUAGCCACGAUAUCUUUGUCCACUCAGACUGCAGGAGUUAUUAGUUCAAAUCUAUAGUCACAGAUGAUACCAGUAUUUCCUUACCUAAAAGUGCUCUGCAUUCAAGGAGAAAAUGGCUUCAUUUCAUUCAUAAUAUACAGUAGUGGUAACGCAAUAUCAAGAGUAAGGUGUUAAAAGUCAUUAAUAUAAGCUGCAAUCUAAGUGGAACAAAUUAGUAUAGACUUAUUUAUAUUAUUAUAAAUCAUUAAUUGUAUUUAAAAAAAACAGCUUAAAAGACUUUGCAGUCUUAACUGCAGGACUCUACAAAGUGCUGAUUUCUCUGAGCUUUUCCGUGAUCUACUGAAAGUGCAUCUGGCUGGCUAUUGUAGCUGCAGAUAUAAAUAAUAUCAUACCAAGAGUUAAAUGGAAUAUUUCAAAUAUCAAAAAAAAAAUGCCAACUAGGGAUAUGCAAUGAAGCAUUGUAUUUUCUUUUCAACUUGAAUUUUAUCUUACACAUAAUGUUAGUCUACUGAGCAUUUAUACUGUGUGUCACAUGAUAACUGGUGUCAUUAAAACCAGGCUACACUAAUAACAUAGAGGCUGAAAAUAUAUACACACACAACUUUUCUGGUAAAUGACAUGACCUGGUCCUUAAGUGGUUGUUAAGUUAACAUACUUUAAAAAUGUGAUUGGAAUAAUCAUAUAGAGUCUAUAUGGCUUAUGAUUAAAAAUAGAUUAUAUUCUGUUCUAAUCUAUUCAUCAGACAGCAUGUUCUUUAACAGUAAAUGUUAAAAGACAAAAUAAUACAGCACAACAUAACUUCCAUAAGAAUAUUAUAAUAUAUAUUUUGCAUGUGGACUGAGUUUAAUGACCAAAGAUAUCCAUUGAACAGCAGAGCAUGCUACAAAAUAGCACUAAAUACAGCGUGUGUGACAAGUAAAGAUAACGUCUAUACGGCCCCCAACAUAUAUAGCACAUGUACCGGAAUUGAUUAGCGAGCGGCCUUUAAAUGAUGCUGUUUUACUCGCUUACAUGAAACUGCCAAAUCAUAUUGACGAAUGUUAUCAAUAGAAUGAAUAUAAAUACACAAAAUGAUACCAACCUGUUGGUAUUUAUGUUUUUAGAAUAAAAGAAAUCGCUCUCCAACUUUCAAGCUCCUCAGAACCUCCAUCGAAGAAAACGCAGCAUCCGUAACCUCGUAUUGAACUGCAAGUGCUUGUUGACCCAGAUUUCAUACAAGUUUUGUAAACAUGCGUUCGUUUGGCGAGGAAAUGGUUACUUUAUAUGACCCAAUAGCAAAAAUAGAGUUUUUGAACAUACUGACACUGUGCCAAGCUUAAUUUCAGAAAGUGUGUCGGAACUAAUUGAAUGCCGGAACUGAUUGAAUGACUGUAUCCAGGUGACAUUAUUUUAGUUGCUAGCCCAAUGUCAAUGAAAAUGAUGGGUAUACAGAUAAUGUUUUUACGCUCUUUGGACAGUAAAGAUGAACUAAUCUAAUGGAACUUAGCAUUGUGCCGUCACUGCCUAGCUGCAGGGCAAACCAGGAAUAUCUUCAUCCACUUUUGAUCAAGAAUCUGUUAGCGCCAUUAGCGGCUAUUUUGAUAUGACCGGAGGUUCCACAGCCUGAGGCAAAACCUGGUGACCACCAACUCUCAGUCUCUUGCAAAUUAUGAAAUGUCUACGUUCCCGCAAGGGGUUUGACAUCAACGGAAGAUAGAGAAGAACUUAAUUAUCAUGGACUGGUGCAGUGCAACCUAGCAGAAUCAGCCUGUCAUGUGAAUGGAUGAAAAAAAAAGACACUGGAGCCUGAAUGGGUGCUUCAAAUGGUCCUGUUACCAGAAUAUUUGGUCACAGUUAAAACAACUGAAUAAGAAUAGUAUAUAAACUUUGAAGUCUAAGUGCAUGCUUGACAUAUUUUUUGGGCAAGUGGAAAAAGCUGACAAUUAUGAGCUACAUUUACAGUACAGAGUAUUCUAAAUUCUACAUAGGCCAGGAACAAAGUCUGCAAAGAUUUGAUUGUUACAAUAGUGCAGAAUGAGAUACUGAUAAUUAACUGGAUUAGCAUACAUGUCAGCAGUCAAUCAAAACUUCGAUGUCAGAAAUGCUUGAUAUCUAUGGAAAUCAGAUGUAUCGUAUCUGGCCUAAUAGGAAAUAAAGAGUUAAAUUAUUUUGAUUUUAGGCAAAGACUAAAAAAAUUUUUUGUUUCCGGUAAUAUGCUAAAAAAAUUAGGGUAGGCCUAGGACGGAAAAAAAAAUAAAAAAAAAUUUAUUAAGGGAAACUUUUCGGAAAUCAUUUUUGUGUCAAAAAAUGAAUACAAAUAAGUUAUCAUGUAAUAAAUUCAGCUUAGCAACUUUUUAUUAAAAAGUUGAAAAAACUAUUCUCCAAGGCUAUAAAAACAUAAAGGGUCGGGCCAAAAAUUUAAGAUAGCUAGGUUGGAAUGUCGGAAACAAACAAUUUUUUACACCCCAUUGAGCCUAUAUCAGUAUUCUGAUUAUUUUGAAAACAAUGCCAAGAAAUUGGCAUUUGUCACAAUUGUGUGUGAUAAUGAAUCGUUUUACAUGCAGGGUUGGAAUAAUUAAGCUCGCAUACUUGCAAUGUGCAUGUGUCUUUUGCCCAAACUCAGUAUCACAAAAUUUUGCUUGUGCUAACUUAAAUGGAAUCAACAGCAUUUAUCAUUUCUUUGACUUCCUGUUUCGAUCUGCUGUAAAUAUGUAUUCAUUCAUGGUGCUUUACAUGAUAUGCACAAUUGAUGAUGUUUUUACAUAGUGUGCGGCCUGGCAGGGGUGGCGAAAGCUGAUUUUGACUUGCUUGUCCGUUUUUGCCAAUUGCUAUUUUUAGCUCGACUACGAAGAAUAGGGGAGCUAUCCUACUCGCCCUGGUGUGAGCGUCACACAAAUGUUGAAGUUAGCGUACCACCCCAAAUAUUUUCAAAGUCCAUUGAGAUAUUGCUUUCAUAUUUUGCAUACUUGUUUACCAUCAUGACCCCAGUCUGUAAAAAGGAGGAGGCAACUCUAUCAAGCAUUUUGACUGAAUUAUGGCCCCUUUUCGACUUAGAAUAUGCUUAUUGUAAUGUUAAAGUUUUACUCAUUGCUUAUAUUAUACUAUCAAGUACUGAGAAUAGUCGAGCGUGCUGUCCACUGACAGCUCUUGUUUACUUGUCCGUAUGAUAGUUAUAAAUAUAGUAAAUUCUGGUCAAAUUUCAUUUGUCCGUACAAGCUUUGGGACAACCCCAGGGCAAUACGGACAAUUGAAUUUGCCACCCCUGCCUGGUUACAACAUGAUAUUUUGUUUGUGUCUGCUUGUGUAUUGUGGCGUAAGAGGGUAAGUAUGAAGUAUUUUCUACAAUUAUAUUGUGGAGUAAGUAAGUAUGAAGUGUGACUGCAGUUGUAUUGUAGAGUAAGUAUAUUAAAGAUAUAUUAAAGUAGAUCUAUGGUAAUUAUUAUGAAUACAUUGUCAUGAAGUAAGUAUGAAGUGCGUUCACAAUUGUGUCAUGGAGUACUUUUGAAGUACAACCACAUUUAUAUCGUAGAAUAAGUAUGAAAUAUGUCGAUACAGUAUGUUGUAUUGUGAAGUAUAAAGUAGUCUACAGAUGUAUGGUGGAGUAAGUAUGAAGUAUAUCUAUAGAUGUAUGGUAGAAUACGUAUGAAGUAUGUCUACAGAUGUAUCAUGGAGUAAGUAUGAAGUAUGUUUACAGAUGUAUGGUGGAAUACGUAUGAAGUAUGUCUACAGAUGUAUCAUGGAGUAAGUAUGAAGUAUGUUUACAGAUGUAUGGUGGGAUAAGUAUGAAAUUUGUAUACAGAUGUAUCAUGGAGUAAGUAUGAAGUAUGUCUACAGAUGUGUCAUGGUGUAAAUAUGAGUAUAUCUACAUAUGUAUCAUGGAGUAAGUAUGAGGUAUGUCUACAGAUGUGUCAUGGUGUAAAUAUGAAGUAUAUCUACAUAUGUAUCAUGGAGUAAGUAUGAAGUAUGUCUACAGAUGUAUGGUGGGAUAAGUAUGAAGUUUGACUAUAGUCGUAUUGUGUAGUAGUUAUAAAGUAUGAUAACAGAACUUUGUGUCAUGGAGUAAGUGGCAGUGUGAAAUAUGUCUAUGUAGCUAACUAGUUGAGCAUGCAUGAGGUAUACCAGCAGUAGUAUUUUGGAGUAAGUAUAAAGUACCUCCACAGUUUUAUACUUGAGUAAGUAUGAAGUAAUUCCAUAGCUGUGUCAUGGAGUAAAUAUGAAGUGCAUCUACAGUUGUGUCAAUGAGUAAGUAUAAAGUACACACACAACAGUGUCAUGGAUUUAGUAUAGAGUGCUUUCACAGUUGUAAUUUGUUGAUCAAGUAUGAAAAGUUAUAAUGAAUGUUUAAAGUUGUAUUAUGUAUAAUAUGGAAUAAGUAUGAAUUAUGUCCUCAAUUGUAUUGUGUAUCAAACAUUAGAUUUGUCUACAAGUUAUGUUAUGAAUUUUUUAUACUCACUAAAAAGCAUUUGAAUUCUAACCCUGACAUGCACAUUUAUAGUACAUAUAAGCUGUGGCUGUUUUACUGGUGGGCAUUAGUAUCAUGUAUAAAUUUGUUAAAGAUGAUAAAUUUUGCAGAUGAUCACAUCAUGUACUGUUAAUUCCUGAUUCAUCAAUGCCAUGAUUGAACAGCAAUUCACUAGUAAACGUUUCACUGCAUAUAGAAACAAGCAACUCCGCAGUCUUCUAAAUUUCUUUUGAAAAGUCAACUUUGAUCUUAAAGUUGUAUGAUACUGUUUAGUAUUUUCCUCUUUGGGAUGGCUACCAAUUAGAUAAUCUUAAAAAAAGUCACAUUAUAUUUUGACCUUAUCAGUCUUGGCUUGAUUAAUCAUUAAAAGUGUUUUGAGAAGAAAAUAGAUAUAAUUACACAAAAUUUGAAUAGCCUUAGGAGUUAAUAUCAGGGUCUGAACACAGACUAAUGUUUAUUUUUCUGUUUUAGAUAAAUUGUUCUUCAACAAACAAUAAUUGCAUUUUGUUUUUGACAUAGCUUUACUGUUUAACCUUGUUAGAUAUUGUAUGUCACUAUAAACACACUUAUUAUUUUAAGAAUCCUUGUUAAAGAGAUUUGAGACAAAUUGUUUAUAGUGUAAUAGUAACAUGAUAUCUACAGUCUGAUGUAUUACUAUACACCACAGGCAUUGGGUUAUAAUUACAUGUAUUGUCAAAAUAUAUCAUAUCAGAUUGUU